Long non-coding RNA from Carassius auratus (goldfish), 186 nucleotides. RefSeq lists it as uncharacterized. NCBI's taxonomy places the organism in Eukaryota, Metazoa, Chordata, Actinopteri, Cypriniformes, Cyprinidae. The record is from RefSeq and is a predicted model, not a curated record. The transcript is spliced from 3 exons.
CAAGUGCUAAGCAUCUCUCGGGGAACUCCUUCAAGACUGUUGGAAGACCAUUUCAGAUUUGAGGGAAAGAUUAAAAACAAGGAGGUCUGGGAAUGACUGAAGGGAACUGACAGCAGUGCGGGAAGGAAGUUAUCACCAGAAUCUCAGAGGAUGUUGACAGUGCAGGUCCAGGAUGAAGAAGAGGAG